CCUACGGGUGGCAGCAGUGAGGAAUAUUGGUCAAUGGACGCAAGCCUGAACCAGCCAUUCCGCGUGCAGGAAGACGGCCCUAGGAGUUGUAAACUGCUUUGGUACGAAGGUAAACGCAGAUACGCGUAUCUGUCUGAAAGUAUCGUACGAAUAGGGAUCGGACAACUCCGUUCCAGCAGCCCCGCUAAUACGGAGGAUGCAAGCGGUACGCGGAUUUAUUUGGUUGAAAGGGUGCGUAGGCGGCCGGGUAAGUUAGAGGUGAAAUCCCCGGGCUGAACUUGGGAAUUGCAUCUGAUACUGUUCGGCUAGAGGGUGUUAGAGGGAGGCGGAAUGACAGGUGUAGCAGGGAAAUGCGUAGAUA
Molecule: ribosomal RNA, 361 nt
Filed under: uncultured bacterium
Lineage: Bacteria
Description: partial 16S ribosomal RNA
Rfam family: Bacterial small subunit ribosomal RNA
Source: RNAcentral